This 440-nucleotide ribosomal RNA is filed under the name uncultured Brevundimonas sp. Its description in RNAcentral is "bacterial SSU rRNA". It matches the Rfam family "Bacterial small subunit ribosomal RNA", at positions 40 to 525 of the family's 1533-position model. The record is from RNAcentral. Lineage: Bacteria; Pseudomonadati; Pseudomonadota; Alphaproteobacteria; Caulobacterales; Caulobacteraceae.
CGGGGGGCCCUAAAGAUCCGAGUCGAACGCACUCUUCGGAGUUAGUGGCGGACGGGUGAGUAACACGUGGGCAACGUGCCGUUAGGUUCGGAAUAACUCAGGGAAACUUGAGCUAAUACCUGCUGUGCCCUUGGGGGGAAAGAUUUAUCGCCUUUAGAGGGGCCGGCGUCUGAUUAGCUAGUUGGGGAGGUAAAGGCUCACCAAGGGGACGAUCAGUAUCUGGUCUGAGAGGAUGAUCAGCCACAUUGGGACUGAGACACGGCCCAAACUCCUACGGGAGGCAGCAGUGGGGAAUCUUGCGCAAUGGGCGAAAGCCUGACGCAGCCAUGCCGCGUGAAUGACGAAGGUCUUAGGAUUGUAAAAUUCUUUCACCGGGGACGAUAAUGACGGUACCCGGAGAAGAAGCCCCGGCUAACUUCGUGCCAGCAGCCGCGGUAAUA